CAGUGACGAACCAGGAUUCGGUGACUGUGUGUUUGGGUUGAGCAACUGCCACGAACUUUUACGACCAAGAUCACUUCCUUGUCUCUGGUGUCUUCACUCCACCAGUUUUGUGGGAUGCCAUCAACAAACUCUUCUAGGAUAAAUAUCUAAUGACAGCAUCAGGGUCUGGGAAGAAGAUAGAAAGUAAACACUACAUUAACAUGGUGAAUCCUUCCAAUUGUUGCAACCUUGUUGAUAAAAUCCUGUCCAUUAGCAUUGGAUUUACUUAACAUCUUUACAGCUACAAGUUGGCCACUUCGGAGCAUUCCUUUAAAUACAGUACCAAAGCCUCCUUCACCUAAUUCUUCCUUGAAACUUUUGGUCAUCUUACAACUUUAUGUAAGAUGCCCAUUUUUAUUGGCACGAGUUAUUUUUACUGUAGAAAUUCUUCAGCCGUGUCAUACAUUGAUAAAUGUCUCCUAUGCCAUUUAUAAAUCAAGAAUGCAAUCACGAAUGGAGUCCAGAACAUACUUUUUGCUGCAAGUGAAAUUUCUAUCCGGCCAAAAGGCAUUAACACAAUACCUCAAGCCAUCGAGGAAAGCCAAAGCCACCUCUUGGGUGACAAUCAGGUUCUUCUCCAUCCUCCUUGAAAUUCGUCUGACCUUCACAAAUGAUUUUGUAUGUAGCCGUAUCCUUGACACAUUUGUUGGUGAUUCGCAAAAUGGAGGAAUCAUGGUGUUGAAGGACUAUGCUGUUGGUGCUCACAAUGGUUUCAGGAACAUAACUUAAUUCUUCAAGAAUAGACUUGAUUUUCUCAUUAGAUCUGAAAAUUUU
Molecule: long non-coding RNA, 813 nt
Organism: Juglans microcarpa x Juglans regia
Lineage: Eukaryota; Viridiplantae; Streptophyta; Magnoliopsida; Fagales; Juglandaceae
Exons: 3
Source: RefSeq, a predicted model, not a curated record